This 877-nucleotide ribosomal RNA is filed under the name Acrospermum longisporium. RNAcentral describes it as "eukaryotic LSU rRNA". It matches the Rfam family "Eukaryotic large subunit ribosomal RNA", at positions 65 to 962 of the family's 3401-position model. Lineage: Eukaryota; Fungi; Ascomycota; Dothideomycetes; Acrospermales; Acrospermaceae. The record is from RNAcentral.
CCAACAGGGAUUGCCUCAGUAACGGCGAGUGAAGCGGCAACAGCUCAAAUUUGAAAUCUGGCGCCCCUGGGCGUCCGAGUUGUAAUUUGCAGAGGAUGCUUCGGUACCGGCGCUGCUCCAGGUUCUUUGGAACAGGACGCCACAGAGGGUGAGAGCCCCGUCUCUGGGCGGCAGUCGGUACCAUGUGAAGCGCCUUCGACGAGUCGAGUUGUUUGGGAAUGCAGCUCAAAAUGGGAGGUAAAUUUCUUCCAAGGCUAAAUACAGGCCGGAGACCGAUAGCGCACAAGUAGAGUGAUCGAAAGAUGAAAAGUACUUUGGAAAGAGAGUCAAACAGCGCGUGAAAUUGUUGAAAGGGAAGCGCUUGCAGUCAGACUUGGCCGCCCGGUUCGGCGGGGUCUCGCACCCCGUCUACGCCGUGGCGAUCAGGCCAGCAUCGGUUCGGACGACCGGAUAAAGGCCGCGGGAACGUAGCUCCCCUCGGGGAGUGUUAUAGCCCACGGCACAAUACGGCCCGUCCGGACCGAGGAACGCGCUUCGGCUCGGAUGCUGGCGUAAUGGCUGCAAGCGGCCCGUCUUGAAACACGGACCAAGGAGUCUAACAUCUGUGCGAGUGUUUGGGUGUCAAGCCCUUGCGCGUAAUGAAAGUGAACGGAGGUGGGAGCCCUCGGGCGCACCAUCGACCGAUCCUGAUGUCUUCGGAAGGAUUUGAGUAAGAGCACAGCUGUUGGGACCCGAAAGAUGGUGAACUAUGCCUAAGCAGGGUGAAGCCAGAGGAAACUCUGGUGGAGGCUCGCAGCGGUUCUGACGUGCAAAUCGAUCGUCAAAUUUGGGUAUAGGGGCGAAAGACUAAUCGAACCAUCUAGUAGCUGGUCCUGCA